This 406-nucleotide ribosomal RNA is filed under the name uncultured bacterium. RNAcentral's name for it is "partial 16S ribosomal RNA". It matches the Rfam family "Bacterial small subunit ribosomal RNA", at positions 30 to 526 of the family's 1533-position model. The record is from RNAcentral.
AUUGAACGCUGGCGGCAGGCCUAACACAUGCAAGUCGAACGAGUGGCGGACGGGUGAGUAAUGUCUGGGAAACUGACUGAUGGAGGGGGAUAACUACUGGAAACGGUAGCUAAUAGCGCAUACCAUCGGAUGUGCACAGAGGGGAGUAGCUAGUAGGUGGGGUAACGGCUCACCUAGGCGACGAUCCCUAGUUGGUCUGAGAGGAUGACCAGCCACACUGGAACUAGGACACGGUCCAGACUCCUACGUGAGGCAGCAGUGGGGAAUAUUGCACAAUGGGCGCAAGCCUGAUGCAGCCAUGCCGCGUGUAUGAAGAAGGCCUUCGGGUUGUAAAGUACUUUCAGCGGGGAGGCGUUACCCGCAGAAGAAGCACCGGCUAACUCCGUGCCAGCAGCCGCGGUAAUUC